RNAcentral lists this ribosomal RNA (424 nucleotides) under uncultured bacterium. RNAcentral's name for it is "bacterial SSU rRNA". It matches the Rfam family "Bacterial small subunit ribosomal RNA", at positions 954 to 1375 of the family's 1533-position model. The record is from RNAcentral.
AUGGGAACGCGAAGAACCUUACCUACUCUUGACAUCCAGAGAACUUUCCAGAGAUGGAUUGGUGCCUUCGGGAACUCUGAGACAGGUGCUGCAUGGCUGUCGUCAGCUCGUGUUGUGAAAUGUUGGGUUAAGUCCCGCAACGAGCGCAACCCGUUAUCCUUUGUUGCCAGCGGUUAGGCCGGGAACUCAAAGGAGACUGCCAGUGAUAAACUGGAGGAAGGUGGGGAUGACGUCAAGUCAUCAUGGCCCUUACGAGUAGGGCUACACACGUGCUACAAUGGCGCAUACAAAGAGAAGCGACCUCGCGAGAGCAAGCGGACCUCAUAAAGUGCGUCGUAGUCCGGAUUGGAGUCUGCAACUCGACUCCAUGAAGUCGGAAUCGCUAGUAAUCGUAGAUCAGAAUGCUACGGUGAAUACGUUCCCC